AACGAACGCUGGCGGCGUGCCUAACACAUGCAAGUCGAACGAGAAAGGGGCUUCGGCUCCGAGUAAAGUGGCGCACGGGUGAGUAACACGUGGGUAACCUGCCUCUAAGAUUGGGAUAACUCGUCGAAAGAUGAGCUAAUACCGAAUAAGACCACAGUUCCCGCGGGAACAGGGGUCAAAGGUAGCCUCUGCUUGCAAGCUAUCACUUAGAGAUGGGCCUGCGCACCAUUAGCUAGUUGGUAGGGUAACGGCCUACCAAGGCAAAGAUGGUUAGCUGGUCUGAGAGGAUGAUCAGCCACACUGGAACUGAGACACGGUCCAGCAUCCUACGGGAGGCAGCAGUGGGGAAUAUUGCGCAAUGGGCGAAAGCUUGACGCAGCAACGCCGCGUGAGUGAUGAAGGCCUUCGGGUCGUAAAGCUCUGUCGGGAGGAACGAAUGCUCCUGAGGUUAACAGCCUCGGGAGGUGACGGUACCUUCAAAGGAAGCACCGGCUAACUCUGUG
RNAcentral lists this ribosomal RNA (503 nucleotides) under uncultured bacterium. RNAcentral describes it as "partial 16S ribosomal RNA". It matches the Rfam family "Bacterial small subunit ribosomal RNA", at positions 29 to 507 of the family's 1533-position model. The record is from RNAcentral.